Molecule: transfer RNA, 72 nt
Filed under: Muntiacus reevesi (Reeves' muntjac)
Lineage: Eukaryota; Metazoa; Chordata; Mammalia; Artiodactyla; Cervidae
Also listed under: 1 other name
Rfam family: tRNA
About the family: Transfer RNA (tRNA) molecules are approximately 80 nucleotides in length.
Source: Rfam by way of RNAcentral
UCCCUGGUGGCUCAGCUGGUAAAGAAUCCGCCUGCAAUGCGGGAGACCUGGGUUUGAUCCCUGGGCUGGGAA